RNAcentral lists this ribosomal RNA (496 nucleotides) under uncultured bacterium. Its description in RNAcentral is "partial 16S ribosomal RNA". It matches the Rfam family "Bacterial small subunit ribosomal RNA", at positions 30 to 523 of the family's 1533-position model. The record is from RNAcentral.
AUUGAACGCUGGCGGAAUGCUUUACACAUGCAAGUCGAACGGUAGAGGGGGCAACCCCUCGAGAGUGGCGAACGGGUGAGUAAUAUAUCGGAACGUGCCCAGUCGUGGGGGAUAACGUAGCGCAAGUUACGCUAAUACCGCAUACGAUCUAAGGAUGAAAGCGGGGGAUCGCAAGACCUCGCGCAAUUGGAGCGGCCGAUAUCAGAUUAGGUAGUUGGUGGGGUAAAGGCUCACCAAGCAAACGAUCUGUAGCUGGUCUGAGAGGACGACCAGCCACACUGGAACUGAGACACGGUCCAGACGCCUACGGGAGGCAGCAGUGGGGAAUUUUGGAAAAUGGACGCAAGUCUGACCCAGCCAUUCCGCGUGCAGGAUGAAGGCCCUCGGGUUGUAAACUGCUUUUGUACGGAACGAAAAGGUCUCUCUUAAUACGGGGGGCUCAUGACGGUACCGUAAGAAUAAGCACCGGCUAACUACGUGCCAGCCGCCGCCGUAA